Fundulus heteroclitus (mummichog) is the source of this 535-nucleotide non-coding RNA. The record is from the annotation of a RefSeq genome assembly. Lineage: Eukaryota; Metazoa; Chordata; Actinopteri; Cyprinodontiformes; Fundulidae.
AAAUGAAGUGUUCUGGUUUAAAGUCUUGGUCUGAUGCUGUCAGCUGCAGAAGAAGAAAAACUCCCAUCAGAUCAACUUCAACACAAAAAUGUUCUCUGUAGCUCUGCUGCUGCUGCUGGUUGCUGGAUCCUGUGUGAAGUGUGAACAGCUGACACAGCCAGCCUCUGUGACUGUGCAGCCAGGUCAUCGUCUGACCAUCAGCUGUCAGGUCUCUUAUAAUCUGGGCAGCUACUGGACAGCUUGGAUCAGACAGGCUGCAGGGAAAGGACUGGAGUGGAUUGGUUACACAUGCAAGGGAUGCACCCCAAUCUACAAAGAUUCUUUAAAGAACAAGUUCACUUUUGCAGUGGAUACUUCCAGCAACUCUGUGAGUCUGAAUGGACAGAGUCUGCAGCCUGAAGACUCUGCUGUGUAUUACUGUGCCAGACAAGACCACAGUGACAAAAACAAGCAGCACAGCUGCACAAAAACCCCUCAGAAUACAUGCAACCCAAAAUCACCAGAAGAGGCACUUUUAAAUCAGCUAAUCAAUUAA